Small nucleolar RNA from Phoenix dactylifera (date palm), 86 nucleotides. RefSeq annotates it as small nucleolar RNA U54. Lineage: Eukaryota; Viridiplantae; Streptophyta; Magnoliopsida; Arecales; Arecaceae. The record is from RefSeq and is a predicted model, not a curated record.
AGCUCAAUGAUUGCAGCAAAUAUUUUUUGGCAAUAUACGCUAUUCUGAGCAAGUUUGAGGGGCUGACAUUGGAAUAUAUGAGAGCU